AGGCAGCAGUGGGGAAUAUUGCACAAUGGGGGAAACCCUGAUGCAGCCAUGCCGCGUGUGUGAAGAAGGCCUUCGGGUUGUAAAGCACUUUCAGCGAGGAGGAAAGGUCAGUAGCUAAUAUCUGCUGACUGUGACGUUACUCGCAGAAGAAGCACCGGCUAACUCCGUGCCAGCAGCCGCGGUAAUACGGAGGGUGCAAGCGUUAAUCGGAAUUACUGGGCGUAAAGCGCACGCAGGCGGUUGGAUAA
RNAcentral lists this ribosomal RNA (248 nucleotides) under Aeromonas dhakensis. RNAcentral describes it as "partial 16S ribosomal RNA". It matches the Rfam family "Bacterial small subunit ribosomal RNA", at positions 346 to 586 of the family's 1533-position model. The record is from RNAcentral. Lineage: Bacteria; Pseudomonadati; Pseudomonadota; Gammaproteobacteria; Aeromonadales; Aeromonadaceae.